Molecule: long non-coding RNA, 1176 nt
Filed under: Vitis vinifera (wine grape)
Lineage: Eukaryota; Viridiplantae; Streptophyta; Magnoliopsida; Vitales; Vitaceae
Description: long non-coding RNA (VVIN_LNC001615)
Source: RNAcentral
UAAAUAUUCCUUUUUUGUAAAGAACAUUGUAUAGAAUAUUUCUAGGUUGAUAUAUUAUUGUAAUAUUAGACUUCCUUAUUCAAUAAGGAAGGUUGUUGGAAAUAUCUCUAUAAAUAUUCUGGGUCAUGAGGGGAAAAAGUUAUGAGAUGGAGAUGGGCCUGGGCCUAUAGAGACUAUACGAGGUGGAUAGAGAUGUGAGGAAGAACGGGAGGUACCUGGUGGAGCGAGAGGGCUCGUAGUAAGGUAUGGAUACAAGGAGUGGAGAAACAUGGGAUGUUUCGGGAACCCAAUAGUUGUAUCUGGUUUUAUCCUCUGUAAUAUUCUCUAUCGUAUAGUGGAAUUAUUCUCUCUCAUCCGUGGACGUAGACAUGGUUGGCCGAACCACGUUAAAACCUCGUGUACCGUAUGUGUGAUUGUUUUUCUUUGGCGUGUGUUUUCUCUAAUUUUUUUGUUUCUCACGGGUUGGGAAUUCGGUUUAAUUCCCUACAACUGGUAUCAGAGCUUGGGUUGAAGAUUUCUGGAAGAGUAAAAGAUCACAAAGCACACAAGAUGAAAACAAAAGGAAUUUUCACUGAAGGUGGAGUCAAUUGCUCUUUCGUGGUGAUAUGAUACAAAAAGGUUUGUGUCAUGGAGAGAUUGAAGAUUAACUUCAUGUAAUUUGGUCCAAGGUGGAGAUUGUUGGGAAUUGUCCCAAAUUCCUAAUUAGUAAAUAUUCCUUUUUUGUAAAGAACAUUGUAUAAAAUAUUUCUAGGUUGAUAUAUUAUUGUAAUAUUAGACUUCCUUAUAGAAUAAGGAAGGUUGUUGGAAAUAUCUCUAUAAAUAUUCUAGGUCAUGAGGGGAAAAAGUUAUGAGAUGGAGAUGGGCCUAUAGAGACUAUACAAGGUGGAUAGAGAUGUGAGGAAGAACGGGAGGUACCUGGUGGAGCGAGAGGGCUCGUAGUAAGGUAUGGAUACAAGGAGUGGGGAAACAUGGGAUGUUUCGGGAACCCAAUAGUUGUAUCUGGUUCUAUCCUCUGUAAUAUUCUCUAUUGUAUAGUGGAAUUAUUCUCUUUCAUCCGUGGACGUAGGCAUGGUUGGCCGAACCACGUUAAAACCUCGUGUACCGUAUGUGUGAUUGUUUUUAUCUUUGUGUUCUUGAACUAACAUCGUUGGCAUCAAAGCUUCCGCUGGCACAACA